UAUGAGUUGUGAUGUAAAUAUCUGAAAUGC
RNAcentral lists this non-coding RNA (30 nucleotides) under Mus musculus (house mouse). Lineage: Eukaryota; Metazoa; Chordata; Mammalia; Rodentia; Muridae. The record is from RNAcentral.